UACGUAGGGGGCAAGCGUUGUUCGGAAUGACUGGGCGUAAAGGGUGCGUAGGCGGUGUAGCAAGUUAGAAGUGAAAUACCUAGAGCUUAACUCAGGUGCUGCUUCUAAAAUUGCUAUACUUGAGUGCAGUAGAGGAAAGUGGAAUUCCUAGUGUAGCGGUGGAAUGCGUAGAUAUUAGGAGGAACAUCAGUGGCGAAGGCGACUUUCUGGACUGUAACUGACGCUGAGGCACGAAAGUGUGGGGAGCAAACAGG
RNAcentral lists this ribosomal RNA (254 nucleotides) under uncultured bacterium. RNAcentral's name for it is "partial 16S ribosomal RNA". It matches the Rfam family "Bacterial small subunit ribosomal RNA", at positions 524 to 776 of the family's 1533-position model. The record is from RNAcentral.